GAGGCAGAUAGGGAGAAGCCAGGCAUGGCCAGUAAGAAAGUUCUAUUUCUUUCAUUUCAUUCUGAGGAUUCACGCUGCUGGCACUGGGGUCCGGAAAGCGAGGUGGGCUUGGAAAUUUGUGAAAUGCACUGGAGCGAACGCCUAGACUGCAGCUGGGCUCCAGGGGAGGGAAGGGCUGGGCUGGCGCGGGGAGGAGGAAGGAGGAAACCCAGUAGGAGGCGGAGAGAACGCACUAUAAAAGGCUCCUGCCUUGCACAGAGCCCGCCACUCCGAGCCACUUUGGGAAGGCCGGAGCCAGAGAAAGACCAAGAGCGAAGGAACGCGCGGUGCCACCGCGGUGACCUGCGCCCACAGCCGGACCUAGUGCGCUCUAGCAUCCCAAGAGAAGAUCCCACGUCCUCCUCUCCAUUCCGAUCCCUUCCUUCGCCAGCUCCCCCAUGCAAAGCAUGCGCCGCGCGCGGGAGCCCGAGGCUGCAGGGAGGUCAUGAGGCGGAGGCCGGGGAGCAGCGGCUGCGUUACGGCAGCCUCCAAGUCCCCUCCAGGCGCUGCGCCCCCGGGAUGAGUCCCCCAGACUCGACACAGCCAGAGCUGAGAGUCAGCGCUAGUGCCCUACCGACGUCCUGAGCGCCCGCUCUGCGGGCACCGCGCCCUGCAGCUUCCCGCCAAGACACCUGCGCGCCCAGCUGGACGCACGCCCCGCGUAUCGGCGCACCCUACUCACCUCCUUUCCCAAGCUCUACCGGGCGCAGUGGACGCGCGAUCCGCAGAACCCAGGGAUCCGGAGCAAGUGUCAAGACCCUUCCGGAACGACACUUUGUCACUCUCAUAUCCCCGCCUGCUUCGGGCAGGGAAGCACUGUCUCAGACAGACACCUGACUUGCCUAGAGCGCGCUCUGUUCUCCAUCACUACAACUCCAGCUCUACUUUGCCAAUAAAGAUUUCCAAACUCGCCUAGGCGCCCCCUACUCACCCGCUUUCCCGAGCCUCAGUGCGCCCAAGAGGGCGCUGCCCUCGGAGACCCCUGCAAGCUCUGCCGCACUCAGUUGGCACAGCCGAUCAGGCGCCCCGGCCACCCCAAAACAGUAUCAGCCUCCGUGUACCCGGGGCCCCCAUCUGGAGCCAGCCCACCCAGGACCAGGCGUGACGGGCGGCGGCGAGGCUGGCGGCCCGCAGGAGCGCGGCGUGCGGGAGGUGGUGAGCCGGCUUCUCCUCCUCCUCCAGCUUGUCGUCGACGUCCUCGUCCUCCUCGUCCUCCUCCUCCUCCUCGUCCUCCUCCUCCUCCUCGUCCUCCUCCUCCUCCUCCUCC
Molecule: long non-coding RNA, 1306 nt
Filed under: Heterocephalus glaber (naked mole-rat)
Lineage: Eukaryota; Metazoa; Chordata; Mammalia; Rodentia; Bathyergidae
Description: lncRNA (ENSHGLG00000040055.1)
Source: RNAcentral